CAGUCGCCACGGGAAUACGAGGAGGGCUAGCGUUGUUCGGAAUUACUGGGCGUAAAGCGCACGUAGGCGGCUUUGUAAGUUAGAGGUGAAAGCCCAGAGCUCAACUCUGGAAUUGCCUUCAAGACUGCAUCGCUUGAAUCCAGGAGAGGUGAGUGGAAUUCCGAGUGUAGAGGUGAAAUUCGUAGAUAUUCGGAAGAACACCAGUGGCGAAGGCGGCUCACUGGACUGGUAUUGACGCUGAGGUGCGAAAGCGUGGGGAGCAAACAGGAUUAGAUACCCGUGUAGUCCCUGUCUCUUAUAC
RNAcentral lists this ribosomal RNA (301 nucleotides) under uncultured bacterium. RNAcentral's name for it is "partial 16S ribosomal RNA". It matches the Rfam family "Bacterial small subunit ribosomal RNA", at positions 509 to 807 of the family's 1533-position model. The record is from RNAcentral.